RNAcentral lists this ribosomal RNA (497 nucleotides) under uncultured bacterium. RNAcentral's name for it is "partial 16S ribosomal RNA". It matches the Rfam family "Bacterial small subunit ribosomal RNA", at positions 28 to 507 of the family's 1533-position model. The record is from RNAcentral.
GAUGAACGCUGGCGGCGUGCCUAAUACAUGCAAGUCGAGCGAACGGACGAGAAGCUUGCUUCUCUGAUGUUAGCGGCGGACGGGUGAGUAACACGUGGAUAACCUACCUAUAAGACUGGGAUAACUUCGGGAAACCGGAGCUAAUACCGGAUAAUAUUUUGAACCGCAUGGUUCAAAAGUGAAAGACGGUCUUGCUGUCACUUAUAGAUGGAUCCGCGCUGCAUUAGCUAGUUGGUAAGGUAACGGCUUACCAAGGCAACGAUGCAUAGCCGAACUGAGAGAGUGAUCGGCCACACGGGAAGUGAGACACGGUCCAGACUCCUACGGGAGGCAGCAGUAGGGAAUCUUCCGCAAUGGGCGAAAGCCUGACGGAGCAACGCCGCGUGAGUGAUGAAGGUCUUCGGAGCGUAAAACUCUGUUAUUAGGGAAGAACAUAUGUGUAAGUAACUGUGCACAUCUUGACGGUACCUAAUCAGAAAGCCACGGCUAACUACGUG